Chiroxiphia lanceolata (lance-tailed manakin) is the source of this 209-nucleotide long non-coding RNA. RefSeq lists it as uncharacterized. The transcript is spliced from 3 exons. The record is from RefSeq and is a predicted model, not a curated record. Lineage: Eukaryota; Metazoa; Chordata; Aves; Passeriformes; Pipridae.
GAAAGAAGGUGUGUAUAAAUAUCUGAGGGGAGGGUGCCAAGAGGAUGCAGCCAGGCUCUUCUUGAUGGUGCCCAGCAAUAGGACGAGAGGCAAUGGGCAGGAACUGAUGCACAGGAAGUUCCACUUGAACAUGAGUAAGAACUUCUUUACUGUGCGAGUGACUGAACACUGGAACAGAGCCCAGAGAGGUUCUGGAGCCUCCCUCACUG